Ochotona princeps (American pika) is the source of this 110-nucleotide small nuclear RNA. The record is from Ensembl. Lineage: Eukaryota; Metazoa; Chordata; Mammalia; Lagomorpha; Ochotonidae.
GGUGCUCGCUCCUGCUUCAUUGUAGACUAAAAUUGGAAUAAUACAGAGAAGAUUAGCAUGGUCCCUGUGCAAAGAUGACGGGCAAAAAUUCACUGGACUCGGCCUGUUAA